GCCGGGUAAGUCUUAUACGAUCAGCUCCCACUGACUCCCCCAGGCUCGGAAGAGAGCAAGGGUAAGUGGUUGAGCGAUGCGAUAUAAGUAGCUUACCCAU
This 100-nucleotide signal recognition particle RNA is filed under the name fish gut metagenome. RNAcentral's name for it is "Bacteroidales small SRP". It matches the Rfam family "Bacteroidales small SRP". Rfam says of the family: The non-coding component of the signal recognition particle in Bacteroides The record is from RNAcentral.